This 446-nucleotide ribosomal RNA is filed under the name uncultured bacterium. Its description in RNAcentral is "partial 16S ribosomal RNA". It matches the Rfam family "Bacterial small subunit ribosomal RNA", at positions 338 to 795 of the family's 1533-position model. The record is from RNAcentral.
CCUACGGGGCGCAGCAGUCGAGAAUCAUUCACAAUGGGGGAAACCCUGAUGGUGCGACGCCGCGUGGGGGAAUGAAGGUCUUCGGAUUGUAAACCCCUGUCAUGUGGGAGCAAAUUAAAAAGAUAGUACCACAAGAGGAAGAGACGGCUAACUCUGUGCCAGCAGCCGCGGUAAUACAGAGGUCUCAAGCGUUGUUCGGAAUCACUGGGCGUAAGGCGUGCGUAGGCUGUUUCGUAAGUCGUGUGUGAAAGGCGCGGGCUCAACCCGCGGACGGCACAUGAUACUGCGAGACUAGAGUAAUGGAGGGGGAACCGGAAUUCUCGGUGUAGCAGUGAAAUGCGUAGAUAUCGAGAGGAACACUCGUGGCGAAGGCGGGUUCCUGGACAUUAACUGACGCUGAGGCACGAAGGCCAGGGGAGCGAAAGGGAUUAGAUACCCCGGUAGUC